RNAcentral lists this long non-coding RNA (272 nucleotides) under Salvator merianae (Argentine black and white tegu). Its description in RNAcentral is "Prostate androgen-regulated transcript 1 conserved region 2 (ENSSMRG00000019013.1)". It matches the Rfam family "Prostate androgen-regulated transcript 1 conserved region 2". The record is from RNAcentral. Lineage: Eukaryota; Metazoa; Chordata; Lepidosauria; Squamata; Teiidae.
GUGCAUGCUGAACUAUAAUUUAUGAAACUGAGCACAGCUAAUCAGCCAAUCGUUACGCUUCUCCCUAACAAGUCUAACUGGCUCUGAAAGCACUGCAACAGAACAACGAAGAGAGGGGAGAUAUCCCACAUGCUAAGCUGCUUAGGCUGGAAUUGCUUUCUGUGUGGCAGGAGCGCAUUAGAGGAGGGAAGAGGGAGGGAAUGAAAUCAGACUCAUUUUUUAAAAAAUGGGUAAUCUGACCAGCUACAAUGAAACUACAUAAAUGAAAUCAA